UUUAAGUGAAGAGUUUGAUCCUGGCUCAGAGUGAACGCUGGCGGCAGGCCUAACACAUGCAAGUCGAACGGCAGCACAGUAAGAGCUUGCUCUUAUGGGUGGCGAGUGGCGGACG
This is a ribosomal RNA of 115 nucleotides. It matches the Rfam family "Bacterial small subunit ribosomal RNA", at positions 1 to 104 of the family's 1533-position model.